Mustela lutreola (European mink) is the source of this 870-nucleotide long non-coding RNA. RefSeq lists it as uncharacterized. The transcript is spliced from 2 exons. The record is from RefSeq and is a predicted model, not a curated record. Lineage: Eukaryota; Metazoa; Chordata; Mammalia; Carnivora; Mustelidae.
GGCCUUGGAAUGUGGCCUGGAACAUUCUUUCCUGAAGUGCAACAUACCCUUCAUGUUCCAGGUCUUCAGCGUAGGACUGGUUCCUAGGUCUCCAGGACAUUUCAGUGCUGGGGUACCGGGCUCCUGGAUUGGAGAAGCUCUGCGAGCAGUACCAUAGCCUGGAACAAAGCUGGGGAUUGCCAUGUGGCCCAGAGCAUAUCACUUGACUCUGUGGAGCCUGGUUUCCUUCUCCAUCGAGUAACAAGCUUCAACCAGGAGGACUAAGCCUUCAUAGCAAGCCUAACACUCCUGAAGGAGCCCAGAGCCCUCCUGCACACACUCAAGCAGAACUGAAUCUAUAAACAGGCACAGAACUCUCCACUCCCCACAGCCCCAGACGCUUGUUAUGAAUCACGAGGACCCACAGAGUAAUGCGACCCAGCUGUCCGGUUUGGCUGUCAACACUCAGGUAUCCCUCUACCCAGGUAUCCCUCUACCAUGGCCAGAGCCCGGACCAUGAGUAUUAUGGGAGUUUUAAUGACGUGACAGGAGCUAGGCACUGCUAUGCCCUACGGCAUUUAUUUUAUUUUUUGCACCGUGGCCUAAAAUGUCUUUUCUUGCUGCGGUUUUCAGAAGACCUGACCAUGCCCUCCACUUUUCUUUGCUGCUAAAGUGAAGAACAACUUACCCCAUGGCAUACAGCUCAGGUACUCGAGACCUGCUGGGGUCCUGACCCACCUCCCCCUCCUCGCCAGGAGCCUCCAAUUCUGACUCUUUCCUAGCAUUGCCAGGUACAGCUGUUCUCCUGAGUUGCACAGAAAACAAUAAGAAGGACAAAGAAACAUCCCCCCCACCAAAUAAAAGUUACUCAGCAAUCACCAUAGUAACAAA